RNAcentral lists this ribosomal RNA (483 nucleotides) under uncultured bacterium. Its description in RNAcentral is "partial 16S ribosomal RNA". It matches the Rfam family "Bacterial small subunit ribosomal RNA", at positions 28 to 523 of the family's 1533-position model. The record is from RNAcentral.
GACGAACGCUGGCGGCGUGCUUAACACAUGCAAGUCGAACGAUGAAGCCGGAGCUUGCUCUGGUGAAUUAGUGGCGAACGGGUGAGUAACACGUGAGUAACCUGCCCUUGACUCUGGGAUAACUGCUAGAAAUGGUAGCUAAUACCGGAUACGACCCUCGGAGGCAUCUCCAGGGGGUGGAAAGAAUUUCGGUCAGGGAUGGACUCGCGGCCUAUCAGCUAGUUGGUGAGGUAACGGCUCACCAAGGCGACGACGGGUAGCCGGCCUGAGAGGGUGACCGGCCACACUGGGACUGAGACACGGCCCAGACUCCUACGGGAGGCAGCAGUGGGGAAUAUUGCACAAUGGGCGCAAGCCUGAUGCAGCAACGCCGCGUGAGGGAUGACGCCUUCGGGUUGUAAACCUCUUUUAGUAGGGAAGAAGCGAAAGUGACGGUACCUGCAGAAAAAGCACCGGCUAACUACGUGCCAGCAGCCGCCGUAA